Molecule: long non-coding RNA, 1153 nt
Filed under: Fukomys damarensis (Damara mole-rat)
Lineage: Eukaryota; Metazoa; Chordata; Mammalia; Rodentia; Bathyergidae
Description: lncRNA (ENSFDAG00000031904.1)
Source: RNAcentral
CUCUUGUGAUGUAAAGUGUCCUUUCACCUGGUAACCUUUAUUCCUCCAAACAGUCAGGUCACGGGUCCUUACACGAUAAGACUGUUUUCUUUCAAUAUGAGACAGAGAAUAUACUAAGCAAGCUGGGAUUCAGAGAAAAAGGAGAGCCAUCCAGGAGUGGGUUCUAUAUGCCUCUGGGAAGACGAGCUAGCAAUCAGGAGACUGAAUGAAAGAAAGCACAUUACUGAAGGAAAAGCUCACACGAUUCUCUGGAAAAUACUAUGCUUUGAGGAAGCCCCUCUAUUUGACCCAUAAUCAAAGGGUGCAGGCAUUAGCAGUUACUGUGUGUGAAGAGACGCUCUCCCAGGAGAGGGAAACAUUCAGAAGCAGCCUGGCCUGUGUCACCUACUCCUGAAGCGGCAACAAAAGUCACACCGCAUCUGUACAGCAAACAUGUUGAAAGACCUGCUAUUGGCCACGCACUAUUCUCAGGUCAGUAAUAAUAACAACUCGCAGUUUCUCCUCAGUGCUCAUUAUGGGCCAGGUACUCUUCUACAUGCACUCACUCACCUAAGUUCACAAGAACUCUAAUCUAGGUGUUCCUUGCAUCAGCUCUAACUUACUAAACAGGAAGCUGAGGGGCAGAGAGCAUCCUAAAGUCAUUUAGUUCAUUUCAGGAACAACGUACAGCACAAGCUCAGAUCCUCCUGUCUCCUAAGUGUGACUCCUGUUAAAACAGAAUGCUGCUGCUUCCUGUCUCGUGAAUGACUGCGUCACUGCAUCUGUCCUGAGGGCUGGAGGCUCAACUAAAUGGAUCCCCGUGACACUCUGAACUGCAGUGUUUUAGAAACUCCCUGGUCUGAAAGUCACAGCUACUCUGAGGUGGCCACCCACUGGUCUCACAUCACACAAUGCCCCUCAGUGUGCCUCUGCCCAGGUCUCUCCCAAAUAUCACAAUCACCCCGAUGGUUCUAAAUUAGUGGAUACACGGAUGAGAUUCACAAAGGAAAAAAAUAAAUAAGGAAAGAAAGAAAGUGUUUUAAAAAUACAGGAAAUGAAAUCAGUACAAAAAGUUAAAAAGGAAAAAAACCACUCUACACAGCAUGAAUUUCCAACAUAUACCUUUUUUUUAAAGUGGCCUUUCCAGAGAUUUAGCUCUGUGGUGCCACACCUG